Molecule: ribosomal RNA, 635 nt
Filed under: uncultured Marinobacter sp.
Lineage: Bacteria; Pseudomonadati; Pseudomonadota; Gammaproteobacteria; Pseudomonadales; Marinobacteraceae
Description: bacterial SSU rRNA
Rfam family: Bacterial small subunit ribosomal RNA
Source: RNAcentral
CGCCUGGGGAGUGCGGCCGCAAGGUUAAAACUCAAAUGAAUUGACGGGGGCCCGCACAAGCGGUGGAGCAUGUGGCUUAAUUCGACGCAACGCGAAGAACCUUACCUGGCCUUGACAUCCAGAGAGCUUUCCAGAGAUGGAUUGGUGCCUUCGGGAACUCUGAGACAGGUUCUGCAUGGCCGUCGUCAGCUCGUGUCGUGAGAUGUUGGGUUAAGUCCCGUAACGAGCGCAACCCCUAUCCCUGGUUGCUAGCAGGUAAUGCUGAGAACUCCAGGGAGACUGCCGGUGACAAACCGGAGGAAGGUGGGGAUGACGUCAGGUCAUCAUGGCCCUUACGGCCAGGGCUACACACGUGCUACAAUGGCGCGUACAGAGGGCUGCCAACUCGCGAGAGUGAGCCAAUCCCUUAAAACGCGUCGUAGUCCGGAUCGGAGUCUGCAACUCGACUCCGUGAAGUCGGAAUCGCUAGUAAUCGCGAAUCAGAAUGUCGCGGUGAAUACGUUCCCGGGCCUUGUACACACCGCCCGUCACACCAUGGGAGUGGAUUGCACCAGAAGUAGUUAGUCUAACCUUCGGGAGGACGAUUACCACGGUGUGGUUCAUGACUGGGGUGAAGUCGUAACAAGGUAACCGUA